RNAcentral lists this ribosomal RNA (1253 nucleotides) under Spilopyra sumptuosa. RNAcentral's name for it is "12S ribosomal RNA". The stretch from base 1036 to 1194 matches the Rfam family "Archaeal large subunit ribosomal RNA", at positions 2542 to 2701 of the family's 2987-position model. The record is from RNAcentral. Lineage: Eukaryota; Metazoa; Arthropoda; Insecta; Coleoptera; Chrysomelidae.
AAUAAAAAAAUUAUUAAAAUUUUAUAAAUAUAGUUUUAUUAAAUUAAAUAUAUUAUUUUUUAUUAAAAAUUAAGAAAAAAUAGAAUUAAUUAUAGAUAAUUAGUAUUGAGAAAGAUUUUUUUUAAUUAUAAAAAAGAAAAAUUUAUUUUUGGUACCUUGUGUAUCAGGGUUUAUUAAAAAAAUAUUUAUAUAAAUAAAUCUCGAAUUCAAAAGAGUUAAAAGUUUAUAUUUUUUAUUGUAAAAUAAAUAUUAUUAAUAUAUUUUUUGUAAUGAAAUGUUAUUCGUUUUUGAAUUUAUCUAGUUUUUUUAGAAAUAAAUUUAAUUUAAUUAAUAAAAAUAUUUAUUUAUAUAUUUAAUUAAAUAUUAAUAUUAUUUAAUUUUUUUAGGGAAAAGCUUGAAAAAAUAUUUUUAUUAAAAAUAUAAAAUUAUUGAAUUGUAAGAUUAGAAUUUUCUAUCAAUAAAAUAAUGUUAUAAUUAAUUUAUUAAUAAAUUGAUUUAUAUUUGAUAUAAAUAUUAUAUAAAAAUAUUUAUUAAAAUUUUUUGUGUAAAGAAAUAAUGAUAAAAUUAGUAUAAAUUAUUGUAAAUUUAAAUUUAUUAUAAAGUUAAAAUAAAGGAAUUCAGCAAAUAAUUUUUUACCUGUUUAAUAAAAACAUGGCCUUUUGAUUAUAAUUUAAGGUCUAACCUGCCCACUGAAAAUUUAAAUGGUCGCGUAAUAUUAAUCGUGCUAAGGUAGCAUAAUCAUUAGUUUUUUAAUUGAAAACUUGUAUGAAGGGUUGAAUAAGAAAAUAACUGUCUCAGUUUUAUUUUAUUAGAAUUUUAUUUUUAAGUUAAAAAGCUUAAAUUUAAUUAAAAGACGAGAAGACCCUAUAGAGUUUAAUAAGUUAAUUUUUUAAUAAAUAAUAGAAUUAUAAAUUUUAAUAAAUAAAUUUAUUUUAUUGGGGUGAUAAAAAAAUUAAAUAAACUUUUUUAUUUUUAUACAUUAAUUUAUGAGUAAAUGAUCUUUAAUUUAUGAUUAUAAGAUAAAAUUACCUUAGGGAUAACAGCGUAAUUUUUUUAAAGAGUUCAAAUCGAAAAAAAAGAUUGCGACCUCGAUGUUGGAUUAAAAAUAAUAUUUGGUGGAGAAGCUAAAUAAUUAGGUCUGUUCGACCUUUAAAUUUUUACAUGAUCUGAGUUUAAACCGGUGUAAGCCAGGUUGGUUUCUAUCUUUAAUAAAUAAAUAUAUUAUAGUACGAAAGGACCUAAUAUAUAUUUAA